UAACACGUGGACAACCUGCCCUGAGGACUGGAAUAAUCCCGGGAAACUGGGGGUAAUUCCAGAUAUGUCAGAACUCCUGGAAUGGGUUCUGGCAGAAAUGCUCCGGCGCCUCAGGAUGGGUCUGCGGCCUAUCAGGGUAGUAGUGGGUGUAACGUACCCACUAGCCUACGACGGGUACGGGUUGUGAGAGCAAGAGCCCGGAGAUGGAUUCUGAGACAUGAAUCCAGGCCCUACGGGGUGCAGCAGGCGCGAAAACUUUACAAUGCGGGCAACCGCGAUAAGGGGACCUCGAGUGCUGGGUUACAAACCUGGCUGUUGGGCUGCCUAAAAAGCAGUCUAUAGCAAGGGCCGGGCAAGACCGGUGCCAGCCGCCGCGGUAACACCGGCGGCUCGAGUGGUAACCGCUGUUAUUGGGUCUAAAGGGUCUGUAGCCUGCCGGCUAAGUCUCUUGGGAAAUCUGGCAUCUCAAGUGUCAGGCUGCCAGGGGAUACUGGUCGGCUUGGGACCGGGAGAGGUGAGAGGUACCUCGGGGGUAGGGGUGAAAUCUUGUAAUCCUCGAGGGACCACCAGUGGCGAAGGCGUCUCACCAGAACGGAUCCGACGGCAAGGGACGAAAGCUAGGGGCACGAACCGGAUUAGAUACCCGGGUAGUCCUAGCCGUAAACGAUACUCGCUAGGUGUCGGCCACGGUGCGACCGUGGUCGGUGCCGUAGGGAAGCCGUGAAGCGAGCCACCUGGGAAGUACGGCCGCAAGGCUGAAACUUAAAGGAAUUGGCGGGGGAGCACAAUC
RNAcentral lists this ribosomal RNA (790 nucleotides) under uncultured Methanosaeta sp. RNAcentral describes it as "bacterial SSU rRNA". It matches the Rfam family "Archaeal small subunit ribosomal RNA", at positions 94 to 883 of the family's 1478-position model. Lineage: Archaea; Methanobacteriati; Methanobacteriota; Methanomicrobia; Methanotrichales; Methanotrichaceae. The record is from RNAcentral.